Molecule: microRNA precursor, 59 nt
Filed under: Dasypus novemcinctus (nine-banded armadillo)
Lineage: Eukaryota; Metazoa; Chordata; Mammalia; Cingulata; Dasypodidae
Description: Dno-Mir-148-P3_pre stem-loop
Rfam family: mir-148/mir-152 microRNA precursor family
About the family: The hairpin precursors (represented here) are predicted based on base pairing and cross-species conservation -- their extents are not known.
Source: RNAcentral
CAGGUUCUGUGAUACACUCGACUUGGCUCUGGAGCAGUCAGUGCAUGACAGAACUUGGG